AUAUAAAUGAAUUCUAAGUUUUAAAGCAUGCGUAGCUAAUUUAUGAUGAUUAUUAUCUGCUGAACUCAGAUUUGACUUAGGAGAAAACUUAUUAACCUACACCUGUCACUUUUUGAAAAGUUAUCAAAUUUAGCUUCAGGAGCUUUUUUUUUUGUAUCACUAUUGUUAGUGCGUCGUGGAUACUUAAACUAGUGUAGGUUGAGAUUACACUCGUGCUGAGUUACAGUAGAGUUAGACUGUUUUGUACUGUCGAGUGCCGUCGAGGCUGACGGUGGAUCAGAUUCUGAUAUCUUGUAUCAGAUUGUGCCAAAGGCACGUGAGCCUUGGUUGUUAGACUAGUGAGACCCAGUUGUAUUGAUUAUAGCCUGUGUGAGCUUGAUUGAACUCGACAGAGACACGCUUGUAUAUUCGGUUGGGUCGCACUCACGAGUAUCGCUCCGGAGUGAGGCUUAUCUUACGUUGACGCGCAACAGUCCCGUUUUGGGUAGUUUUCUUGGACCAGCCACCCCCGUGGGUGGUGUGCGGUGUAGUUUGGGCACAGGCUGGACUGGCUAGUUGGCGGUCCCUUGAGAUUGGGUCAGUUGUGGCUGAUUUGUAGCUAGUGAUGCAUUUAUAUGUCUACAGAGAGUAUGGUAUGGAUAGCGAUAGUAUAUUGCCAUUUAGCUGUAGAGUUUCUUUCAGCUUAUUUUACUAUCUUUUUACCUAUCAGUUUAUUACUCAUACUGUAGACUUAGUGGGUAGGUCGUUGGGGUCGGUGAUGGUACCCACUAAGGACUACUCUGUUUUGCAGUAGUUCUCACACCCAUUGUCGCCACUCUUUUUUCAGAGCAGUCAGUUGCUGCUGCUGCUCCUGAUCGAGGUAAGGGAGUCACGAGCUAGAUCCCUAUCUUUCUCGGUCACUUUAUUAGAGGAGUACCCCUGCCAGAGAUAGUUUUGGAUGUGGCCAUGUACAUACAGUGGAUUUAGUUUUACUUUCUGAGAGAUGGUUGUAUCUUGGGUACUGGAUGGUUAGGCUUGUAUUUUGGAACUUGUAUGUACAGUCUGCCUUUUUAUUUAUAUAUGUUUUAAUUUUAGCAGCUCUGUACUUCUAGUAGAAGCAAUUAUCUGUUUGCAGGUACAACUAUCGCUUCGUAUACAUAGAAAAUUUUUAUGUAUACGGCGGGGCGGGUCUGUUGGCGAGCCCGGGGAAUGUCAUAAUCCGAGGCGUGACAUAUAUAAUAAAAAAAACUAUUGUUUUUCUUUCAACUAAACAAGUGUGGUUAAAAACUUUUUUUCUUUUUCCUACAAACCAAACAUUAAAAUCCGUAAAAAAAAAAAAUUUCUAGAAAAAAUUUCUUCCACGAUAAAUCUUUUUUUUUUUUUUCAAAUUUACGUAUAACCAAACAGCCCCUUAUCCCCCUCGUUUCCCAUUCCUCUCCCAAGCCCUAACGUUAUGCGUCCCUCUCUCGCUCUUCCUCUCUCUUCUCCUAUUCUCUCCUUCCAAAACCUAAACAUAAGACGUGGUAAUCCAAGGUGAUCCUCUGAUCCCCUCAUCUCUCUCUUAUAUUCUAAUUGAAUCUUUUCGAUCUCUUCCUCUCCAUUUUCUCUCGAUUUGCUUAUUGAAUUGA
Molecule: long non-coding RNA, 1607 nt
Filed under: Ananas comosus (pineapple)
Lineage: Eukaryota; Viridiplantae; Streptophyta; Magnoliopsida; Poales; Bromeliaceae
Description: long non-coding RNA (ACOM_LNC030513)
Source: RNAcentral